UUUAACAAAAUUCUUGAGUAAAGCGGGACACGUGAAAUCCUGCUCGAAUAUAGGGGGACCACCCUCUAAGCCUAAAUACUCUUCAGUGACCGAUAGUGAACUAGUACCGUGAGGGAAAGGUGAAAAGAACCCCUAUUAGGGGAGUGAAAUAGAACCUGAAACUGCAUGCCUACAAUCAGUCGAAGCUCUUUUUAGAGUGACGGCGUACCUUUUGUAUAAUGGGUCAGUGACUUAAUUUAUUAAGCAAGCUUAAGCCAUCUAGGUGUAGGCGCAGCGAAAGCAAGUCUUAAUAGGGCGAUUAGUUUAAUGAAUUAGACCCGAAAACGAAUGAGCUUACCAUGAGCAGGUUGAAAGUUGGGUAACACCAACCGGAGGACCGAACCAGUUGACGUUGAAAAGUCUUUGGAUGACUUGUGGUAAGGGGUGAAAGGCCAACCAAAUUCGUAGAUAGCUGGUUUUCCGCGAAAACUAUUUAGGUAGUGCGUUGAAUAAAUAGAUGUUUAGAGGUAGAGCACUAAAUGGGCUAGGGGGAAGAGAUUCUUACCAAACCUAAUAAAACUCCGAAUGCUAGACAUUGUUCUUCAACAGACAGACUGUGGGUGCUAAGGUCCAUGGUCGAGAGGGAAAGAGCCCAGACCACCAGAUAAGGUCCCCAAAUUAUGAUUAAGUGUGAAAGGAUGUGGAAAUUCCUUAACAGCCGGGAGGUUGGCUUAGAAGCAGCCAUCCUUUAAAGAUAGCGUAACAGCUCACCGGUCUAAUAGAGUUUCUGCGCCGAAGAUGUAACGGGGCUAAAAUCAUAUACCGAAUCUGUGGGUUUAUAAAACUUUCGAGUUUUAUAAGCGGUAGCGGAACGUUCUGUAAGCCUGUGAAGGGAUACCCGUGAGGGAUCCUGGAGGUAUCAGAAGUGCGAAUGCUGACAUAAGUAACGAUAAAAGAAGUGAAAAACUUCUUCGCCGAAAAUCCAAGGGUUUCUGCGCAAGGUUAAUCCGCGCAGAGUUAGUCGGCACCUAAGGCGAGGGCGAAAGCCGUAGUCGAUGGAAAUAAGGUUAAUAUUCCUUAACCAGAUGGUAGUGACGGAUCUUGUAAGUUGUGUACUCUUAAUGGAUUGAGUAUGCCGCGAAAAGGUUCCAAGAAAUAGCUCCAUCAUUAGACCGUACCCUAAACCGACACAGGUGGAUUAAUAGAGUAUAUUUAGGCGCUUGAGAGAAUGAUGUUGAAGGAACUCGGCAAAAUGCUUCCGUAACUUCGGGAUAAGGAAGACCUGUUUUUAGGCAACUAGAGAUGGGUGGCACAAGCCAGGGAGAAGCGACUGUUUAUCAAAAACACAGGGCUCUGCUAACACGUAAGUGGAUGUAUAGGGUCUGACGCCUGCCCGGUGCUGGAAGGUUAAUGCGAUCAGUGCAAGCUGAUUUCUGAAGCCCCAGUGAACGGCGGCCGUAACUAUAACGGUCCUAAGGUAGCGAAAUUCCUUGUCGGGUAAGUUCCGACCUGCAUGAAUGGCGUAACGAUUUCUCCGCUGUCUCCAACAUCAACUCAGUGAAAUUGAAUUCUCCGUGAAGAUGCGGAGUUCGCGUAGUUAGACGGAAAGACCCCGUGCACCUUUACUGCAACUUUACAUUGGUAUUAGGAAAAACAUAUUUAGUAUAGGAGGGAGACAUUGAAGCAAAGGCGUCAGCUUUUGUGGAGUCACCAGUGAAAUACCUCUUUUGUUUUUCUUGAUAUCUAACUGAUUGCCGUCAUCCGGCAUCAAGACAUUGUAUGGUGGGUAGUUUGACUGGGGCGGUCGCCUCCCAAAUAGUAACGGAGGCGUGCGAAGGUAGGCUCAGAACGGUCAGAAAUCGUUCGUAGAGUGCAAUGGCAUAAGCCUGCCUGACUGUGAGACUGACAAGUCGAGCAGAGACGAAAGUCGGUCAUAGUGAUCCGGUGGUUCUGAGUGGAAGGGCCAUCGCUCAACGGAUAAAAGGUACGCCGGGGAUAACAGGCUGA
Molecule: ribosomal RNA, 1986 nt
Filed under: marine metagenome
Description: bacterial LSU rRNA
Rfam family: Bacterial large subunit ribosomal RNA
Source: RNAcentral